UGGGGAAUAUUGGACAAUGGGCGCAAGCCUGAUACAGCCAUGCCGCGUGAGUGAUGAAGGCCCUAGGGUUGUAAAGCUCUUUCACCGGUGAAGAUAAUGACGGUAACCGGAGAAGAAGCCCCGGCUAACUUCGUGCCAGCAGCCGCGGUAAUACGAAGGGGGCUAGCGUUGUUCGGAUUUACUGGGCGUAAAGCGCACGUAGGCGGACUUUUAAGUCAGGGGUGAAAUCCCGGGGCUCAACCCCGGAACUGCCUUUGAUACUGGAAGUCUUGAGUAUGGUAGAGGUGAGUGGAAUUCCGAGUGUAGAGGUGAAAUUCGUAGAUAUUCGGAGGAACACCAGUGGCGAAGGCGGCUCACUGGACCAUUACUGACGCUGAGGUGCGAAAGCGUGGGGAGCAAACAGG
Molecule: ribosomal RNA, 404 nt
Filed under: Actinomycetes bacterium
Lineage: Bacteria; Bacillati; Actinomycetota; Actinomycetes
Also listed under: 1 other name
Description: Actinobacteria bacterium partial 16S ribosomal RNA
Rfam family: Bacterial small subunit ribosomal RNA
Source: RNAcentral